AACAUUUUGGCCGUAACAAGCCGCAAACCUUAUUUACACGUACCUCCACAUUCUCCUUCGGCGGGGUAACGCCCGCCGUCGGAACCGACAAACAACCUCUUGCAUCUAGCAUCCUACCCGUUCUGAUAAAAAUUCAAUCGUUA
Molecule: unclassified non-coding RNA, 143 nt
Filed under: uncultured Montagnulaceae
Lineage: Eukaryota; Fungi; Ascomycota; Dothideomycetes; Pleosporales; Didymosphaeriaceae
Description: sequence contains ITS1
Source: RNAcentral